AUUUGCUCGAUGUCCGAUUGGUCGAAGCCGCCUUCAUAGUCUUCUGUAUUUAUAUACCUAACACAAUGAUUAAUAUAACCGUUUUUAAGCAACUCAGCCCUUUUCACCUUGCUUUCAAGAAUACAUUCAUCAAAUUGAUUCGCUCUUAUAGUAUAGGGGGAAUUACAGAAACAAUGAAAUAAAAAUUGUAUAUUGUAUUUAUUACUUUGAAAUUUACAAAUAUAAUAGCAUAUAGAGAUUGAAAUUAA
Long non-coding RNA from Cucurbita moschata (crookneck pumpkin), 248 nucleotides. RefSeq lists it as uncharacterized. The record is from RefSeq and is a predicted model, not a curated record. The transcript has 2 exons. Lineage: Eukaryota; Viridiplantae; Streptophyta; Magnoliopsida; Cucurbitales; Cucurbitaceae.